RNAcentral lists this ribosomal RNA (415 nucleotides) under uncultured bacterium. RNAcentral describes it as "bacterial SSU rRNA". It matches the Rfam family "Bacterial small subunit ribosomal RNA", at positions 402 to 809 of the family's 1533-position model. The record is from RNAcentral.
UGAGUGAAGAAGGCCUUCGGGUUGUAAAGCUCUUUUGUCUGGGAAGAAACGGCUCAGGCUAAUAUCCUGGGCUAAUGACGGUACCUGAAGAAUAAGCACCGGCUAACUACGUGCCAGCAGCCGCGGUAAUACGUAGGGUGCAAGCGUUAAUCGGAAUUACUGGGCGUAAAGCGUGCGCAGGCGGUUUUGUAAGUCUGUCGUGAAAGCCUCGGGCUUAACCUGGGAAUUGCGAUGGAGACUGCAAGGCUUGAAUCUGGCAGAGGGGGGUAGAAUUCCACGUGUAGCAGUGAAAUGCGUAGAGAUGUGGAGGAACACCGAUGGCGAAGGCAGCCCCCUGGGUCAAGAUUGACGCUCAUGCACGAAAGCGUGGGGAGCAAACAGGAUUAGAUACCCUGGUAGUCCACGCCCUAAACGA